This 253-nucleotide ribosomal RNA is filed under the name uncultured bacterium. Its description in RNAcentral is "partial 16S ribosomal RNA". It matches the Rfam family "Bacterial small subunit ribosomal RNA", at positions 524 to 776 of the family's 1533-position model. The record is from RNAcentral.
UACGUAGGGGGCGAGCGUUAAUCGGAAUUACUGGGCGUAAAGGGUGCGCAGGCGGCCGCGCAAGUCGGGUGUGAAAUCCCCGAGCUUAACUUGGGAAUUGCGCUCGAAACUACGUGGCUGGAGUGUGGCAGAGGAAGGUGGAAUUCCACGUGUAGCGGUGAAAUGCGUAGAUAUGUGGAGGAACACCGAUGGCGAAGGCAGCCUUCUGGGCCAACACUGACGCUCAUGCACGAAAGCGUGGGGAGCAAACAGG